GAUUUACAAUCGUUUUAAAAAGCAUAAGUAAGUGUCAUAAAACGAUUUACAAGGGAUUUUAGAAGUAUUUGCAUGGUUUACAAUCGUUUUUAAAACAUAAGUAAGUGGCAUAGAAUAAUUUACAAGGGAUUUUAAAAUCUUUUCUAAGGGUUAAACAUGAUUUACAAUCGUUUUUUAAGCAUAAGUAAGUGGAAUAAAAUGAUUUACAAGGGAUUUUAAAAGCUUUUAGAAGGGUUAAACAUGAUUUACAAUCGUUUUUAAAGCAUAAGUAAGUGUCAUAGAAUGAUUUACAAGGAAUUUUAAAAGUGUUUGCAUGGUUUACAAUCGUUUUUAAAGCAUAAGUAAGUGGCAUCGAAUGAUUUAUAAGGGAUUUUAAAAGCUUUUU
This 385-nucleotide small RNA is filed under the name Arabidopsis thaliana (thale cress). RNAcentral's name for it is "ATSL161850". Lineage: Eukaryota; Viridiplantae; Streptophyta; Magnoliopsida; Brassicales; Brassicaceae. The record is from RNAcentral.